Molecule: long non-coding RNA, 827 nt
Organism: Zingiber officinale
Lineage: Eukaryota; Viridiplantae; Streptophyta; Magnoliopsida; Zingiberales; Zingiberaceae
Exons: 4
Source: RefSeq, a predicted model, not a curated record
UUUUUUUCCCUGCCCUAACGCUAACCCGGCCCUUUCCCUCAUCACACGCCGAAUUUCUUUCUCCUCUGUACUCGCUCGCCGCUCCCCCACCCUAAGCGCCGCUCCGAUCCUCUCCCUUUCUCUUCCGUUAACUGCUCUCGUCAUCGCUGCUUUUCUCCUUGCUCCUCCCUAAUCUGCUCUCAGCGGCGCUCCUCUCCCUUUAUCCUCCCUCUGCUCUCGUUCGUUGCCGCUCCUCUCCUUAAUCUGCUCUCACUGUCGCUAGGAUCUUCACCCACGCUCACGCAUACCUGUGCCGCCGCCGGCCUCCACCACGAUUCCUCCACAGCACUGCCUACACGCUGUGAUUCUGCCUUUCUCCUCCCAAACUCAUUCUUGUCGUCGCUGCUCCUAAUCUGCGGAUCUCACCGUGAUUUGUUGUGGAUUGGAAGAAUUUAAUAGUCACCUUGCUCCUUUCUACCUAAUCGAAUCAAACAGUUCUUUAUUUAUAAGUGUUAAAUUUAGACCUUAUGAUCUUUUACAAAGGUUUGAGGAUGCACUUGGAGGACUGAUAGCUUGGCCUUGUCAUUUGGUGACAGGUACUUGGAUUUUGCAUAUGAUGGUUGAAGAUGGUUGAUAGUAAAUUAGUUGGUUUUUUAUUUUAUAAGACUUUGUUAGUUUUAAAACUCAAUGAUUUGUUAGUAUUUAGUUAACAUUGGAUUCAAUGCUUUUACAUUAGUAAUGCAUUUGUAUUUUUGUGAUGAUGGGAUGAAUUAUAUAUGAUGAUAUGACGAAUGGAUUGGAUAUUUUGGAUAUAAAACAUUUUUAUUCUUAUUGUGAUGAUGGUUAAA